ACGGGAGGCAGCAGUGAGGAAUAUUGGUCAAUGGGCGGAAGCCUGAACCAGCCAAGUCGCGUGAAGGAAGAAGGUCCUAUGGAUUGUAAACUUCUUUAGCCGGGGAGCAAUAAUCGCUACGCGUAGCGAGAUGCGAGUACCCGGAGAAUAAGGAUCGGCUAACUCCGUGCCAGCAGCCGCGGUAAUACGGAGGAUCCGAGCGUUAUCCGGAUUUAUUGGGUUUAAAGGGUGCGCAGGCGGUCGAUUAAGUCAGUGGUCAAAUCGUGAGGCUCAACCUCAUCCCGCCAUUGAUACUGGUUGACUUGAUUCCGGUCGAGGCAGGCGGAAUUCGUAGUGUAGCGGUGAAAUGCAUAGAUAUUACGAAGAACCCCGAUUGCGUAGGCAGCUUACCAGGCCGGCAAUGACGCUCAUGCACGAAAGUGCGGGGAUCGAACAGGAUUAGAUACCCUGGUA
Molecule: ribosomal RNA, 453 nt
Filed under: uncultured Porphyromonadaceae bacterium
Lineage: Bacteria; Pseudomonadati; Bacteroidota; Bacteroidia; Bacteroidales; Porphyromonadaceae
Description: partial 16S ribosomal RNA
Rfam family: Bacterial small subunit ribosomal RNA
Source: RNAcentral